AGUGAACGCUGGCGGUAGGCCUAACACAUGCAAGUCAAACGGCAGCACAGUAAGAGCUUGCUCUUACGGGUGGCGAGUGGCGGACGGGUGAGGAAUACAUCGGAAUCUACUUUUUCGUGGGGGAUAACGUAGGGAAACUUACGCUAAUACCGCAUACGACCUACGGGUGAAAGCAGGGGAUCUUCGGACCUUGCGCGAUUGAAUGAGCCGAUGUCGGAUUAGCUAGUUGGCGGGGUAAAGGCCCACCAAGGCGACGAUCCGUAGCUGGUCUGAGAGGAUGAUCAGCCACACUGGAACUGAGACACGGUCCAGACUCCUACGGGAGGCAGCAGUGGGGAAUAUUGGACAAUGGGCGCAAGCCUGAUCCAGCCACACCGCGUGGGUGAAGAAGGCCUUCGGGUUGUAAAGCCCUUUUGUUGGGAAAGAAAAGCAGCAGGUUAAUACCCCGCUGUUCUGACGGUACCCAAAGAAUAAGCACCGGCUAACUUCGUG
Molecule: ribosomal RNA, 492 nt
Filed under: uncultured bacterium
Lineage: Bacteria
Description: partial 16S ribosomal RNA
Rfam family: Bacterial small subunit ribosomal RNA
Source: RNAcentral